RNAcentral lists this long non-coding RNA (241 nucleotides) under Elaeis guineensis (African oil palm). RNAcentral describes it as "long non-coding RNA (EGUI_LNC024866)". Lineage: Eukaryota; Viridiplantae; Streptophyta; Magnoliopsida; Arecales; Arecaceae. The record is from RNAcentral.
UCUACCCUUCUUUUUGGUGACACCACCCAGUCUGCUCUAAUCCUUCCUCUACUCCCUUUCUUUCAUUCACAAUGACAACAUACUAAUCCAUACUCUCCCUCUCCCUCUUUUUACUAGAUCACCAUAUCUACUCUUGACCUCCACUUGUAUAGCCUCCGUUGUCUGAAACAAGAUUGAUAUCCUUCACAAGAUGUUGUUCAAUAUUGAUUAUUGCAAGUACUAGCCAUAGAUUUCUAUAACU